Molecule: ribosomal RNA, 472 nt
Filed under: uncultured bacterium
Lineage: Bacteria
Description: bacterial SSU rRNA
Rfam family: Bacterial small subunit ribosomal RNA
Source: RNAcentral
ACUCCUACGGGAGGCAGCAGUGGGGAAUAUUGCACAAUGGGGGAAACCCUGAUGCAGCCAUGCCGCGUGUGUGAAGAAGGCCUUCGGUUGUAAAGCACUUCAGUAGGGAGGAAGGUAGUGUAGUUAACACCUGCAUUAUUUGACGUUACCUACAGAAGAAGCACCGGCUAACUCCGUGCCAGCAGCCGCGGUAAUACGGAGGGGUGCGAGCGUUAAUCGGAAUUACUGGGCGUAAAGCGCAUGCAGGCGGCCUGUUAAGUCAGAUGUGAAAGCCCGGGGGCUUAACCUCGGAAUUGCAUUUGAAACUGGCAGGCUAGAGUCUUGUAGAGGGGGUUAGGAAUUUCAGGUGUAGCGGUGAAAUGCGUAGAGAUCUGAAGGAAUACCAGUGGCGAAGGCGGCCCCUGGACAAGACUGACGCUCAGAUGCGAAAGCGUGGGAGGCAAACAGGAUUAGAUACCCUGGUAGACUGUCA